Molecule: long non-coding RNA, 234 nt
Filed under: Elaeis guineensis (African oil palm)
Lineage: Eukaryota; Viridiplantae; Streptophyta; Magnoliopsida; Arecales; Arecaceae
Description: long non-coding RNA (EGUI_LNC048084)
Source: RNAcentral
GGUGAACCAAGUUAGGAUCUCUCUAGUAGAUCUAUAUUAAUUAUGGAUUUACAUCGGAUGUAAAUAAAUAAUUUAAAUUAAAGAGACCUAAAUUAAAUCUCCUCAUAUAUAUUAAGUCUAGCGAUCUUCCAUCAUUGUAGAUGUGUGGGCCCUUUCCAGUGUUGUUAUUCUCGACUAGAUAUAGUGGUUCAGUUGCACCAGGAAAGAUGCAACCACUCUAUAGGCAUGAGAUAC